UGGGGAAUAUUGGACAAUGGGCGCAAGCCUGAUCCAGCCAUGCCGCGUGAGUGAUGAAGGCCUUAGGGUUGUAAAGCUCUUUUGUCCGGGAAGAUAAUGACUGUACCGGAAGAAUAAGCCCCGGCUAACUUCGUGCCAGCAGCCGCGGUAAUACGAAGGGGGCUAGCGUUGCUCGGAAUCACUGGGCGUAAAGGGCGCGUAGGCGCACUUUUAAGUCGGAGGUGAAAGCCCAGGGCUCAACCCUGGAAUUGCCUUCGAUACUGGGAGUCUUGAGUUCGGAAGAGGUUGGUGGAACUGCGAGUGUAGAGGUGAAAUUCGUAGAUAUUCGCAAGAACACCGGUGGCGAAGGCGGCCAACUGGUCCGAAACUGACGCUGAGGCGCGAAAGCGUGGGGAGCAAACA
This 402-nucleotide ribosomal RNA is filed under the name uncultured Alphaproteobacteria bacterium. RNAcentral's name for it is "bacterial SSU rRNA". It matches the Rfam family "Bacterial small subunit ribosomal RNA", at positions 355 to 774 of the family's 1533-position model. Lineage: Bacteria; Pseudomonadati; Pseudomonadota; Alphaproteobacteria. The record is from RNAcentral.